Long non-coding RNA from Panicum hallii, 1701 nucleotides. RefSeq lists it as uncharacterized. NCBI's taxonomy places the organism in Eukaryota, Viridiplantae, Streptophyta, Magnoliopsida, Poales, Poaceae. The record is from RefSeq and is a predicted model, not a curated record. The transcript is spliced from 4 exons.
GGAAUGUGUUGAUUUGGCUGUGCAGGUUGAGAUAAAAAAUGGCAUCUUUGAGCUGACCCUGUCCAACCUCGACGGGAUCGUGACCGGCGUGCUCUACAAUGGUGGUGUGGAUAACCUCUGGAUCCACUCAGGACUAUCAAGUCGUGUUUGGGCUGCUCAGGAGCGUCUGGGAGCAGCAUGUCGAUGAGCUGCAAUUGGGGUUUGAGUGGAAGGUGGAGUGCUUUUUUUUUUUGGAGCAGAGAGAGGGAAUGUGGUGGUGAGCGCUGCUCCAAGUGGCCGAUCCAGUCGAACACAUAGUGUUGAGCUUCAUGUGGAGCUGCAGGCACUGAAGGUGAGAUUUACUGAGAAAAAAUUGUUCGGUGCUACUGCAUCAGGGCUUGAGAGCUCCACUAAAUUUAGCCAUAUAAACUUGUAAACAAUUAAUGUAAUUGGCAAUGGAACUUAGGUGGGAGCUUUUGAUGGACAUAGAGCGGAACAUACAUUGUACAUUAGCUUAAGCUGCAUUGCUGUGGAAAUAAUUAAUACAAUUUUUGUUAAAAUAUAGGCCAAGGAUUAGGCUGUUGUUUUGGACAUUUCAAACACUGAUCUCAUCCUUCGGCGGCUAAAUUCACAACAGCUUUGGGAGGAAAAGCACACCUCCUGCCGUAGAAGCUCCGCCGGCCCCCUGUGUUCAUAUGUCAAUUCUACCGCCCUUCAGAAUUCUCUGUCUAUAUGUGGAGAACUUUAAUGUCUACUUCUCAGGAACAAUCACAGAUAUAUAGUGGUUCUUUCAUUUUGCAGUGAUCAAGGCAUGCUUAAUUCUUGAAACUGGAUAGCUGCAUGUAUUAACCAGCUAAUAUUUGCUUUUUUAGGUCCCAGGUGAACUUAAUAAACAUAUGAUCCAUUGUGGAGGGAUCUUGUUUUGCAGCAAGAUAACUUCUAUAUUAUGCUAUUUUUCUAAUGCUCUGUGAACAAAUGCUCUUUGAACAGAGAUAAGCUCGGUGAUGGACCGAUGGAUGCUUGUUUUAGAUCUUUGCUUGUGUUUGUAAUAGCUUCUUCACCUAGCUGUUUGCCUGUUUCAGUGGCCAUUACAAAGAGUUAUACUGAGUGUCAUUCUUGAUUUUUGAAGUUGACAGAAGCCAUGGCUCAAAAUUUCAAGCUCCCGUGGCAACGCAGGUCAAGUGCGCUGGCCUGCGCACCCUCACCGUCAUUUCCCUACAGCAGAGAAAUUGGGCAUUCGCGUGACCCCAGAUUGUGGAGCUGAUAACACCUUGAAGCCAGGAGCAAUGCCCUGGAAGUUGCUAUUGCGUCCUCUACAGGAAGCGGACCCGCUGCAGUAAGACCGCAUCAUCCCUUUUCUCUUCAGCUCCAGUAUAUAUGAUAAAGGCCAUAUUCUGUUUUGAGAGGUGAUGAUCUGUUUUGAGACCUGCAAGAGAUUUGCUCGGAGAUGCACUCAAUAUAGAUGUGCGGGAGUAGAGAGUGAAGGAGCCAGAGGAAAAGGAGAGAGUAUUUGAGUUCACCAGAGAUAUGGUCGAGCCGGCACCAAGCAGAGCCGUUGGCUCAUCCUAGUACCUUAGCUCUCAUGCGUCGGCACAGAAGAGAGUGCGAAAGAGCAGUGGCUGAUGGACUCUAGGAAGGAGUGAGAGCUACAUCGGAGAGAUUAGAGUGCCUGGCCAGGCCUAGAGCUUUCAGCUUUGGUCAGUAGGGAAAUAGAAAGAUCAG